GGGUUGUGAGGUUAAGCGACUAAGCGUACACGGUGGAUGCCCUGGCAGUCAGAGGCGAUGAAGGACGUGCUAAACUGCGAAAAGCGCCGGCGAGGUGAUAUGAACCUUUGACCCGGCGAUGUCCGAAUGGGGAAACCCAGUGCAAUCCGUUGCACUAUCGUUAACUGAAUACAUAGGUUAACGAGGCGAACCGGGGGAACUGAAACAUCUAAGUACCCCGAGGAAAAGAAAUCAACCGAGAUUCCCCCAGUAGCGGCGAGCGAACGGGGAGCAGCCCGGAGUCUGAAUCAGCUUGUGUGUUAGUGGAACGGUCUGGAAAGUCCGACGGUACAGGGUGAUAGUCCCGUACACGAAAGCACACAUGCUGUGAACUCGAAGAGUAGGGCGGGACACGUGGUAUCCUGUCUGAAUAUGGGGGGACCAUCCUCCAAGGCUAAAUACUCCUGACUGACCGAUAGUGAACCAGUACCGUGAGGGAAAGGCGAAAAGAACCCCGGCGAGGGGAGUGAAAAAGAACCUGAAACCGUGUACGUACAAGCAGUGGGAGCCUCUUUAUGGGGUGACUGCGUACCUUUUGUAUAAUGGGUCAGCGACUUAUAUUCUGUAGCAAGGUUAACCGUAUAGGGGAGCCGAAGGGAAACCGAGUCUUAACUGGGCGUUAAGUUGCAGGGUAUAGACCCGAAACCCGGUGAUCUAGCCAUGGGCAGGUUGAAGGUUGGGUAACACUAACUGGAGGACCGAACCGACUAAUGUUGAAAAAUUAGCGGAUGACCUGUGGCUGGGGGUGAAAGGCCAAUCAAACCGGGAGAUAGCUGGUUCUCCCCGAAAGCUAUUUAGGUAGCGCCUCGUGAACUCAUCUUCGGGGGUAGAGCACUGUUUCGGCUAGGGGGCCAUCCCGGCUUACCAACCCGAUGCAAACUACGAAUACCGAAGAAUGUUAUCACGGGAGACACACGGCGGGUGCUAACGUCCGUCGUGAAGAGGGAAACAACCCAGACCGCCAGCUAAGGUCCCAAAGUCAUGGUUAAGUGGGAAACGAUGUGGGAAGGCACAGACAGCCAGGAUGUUGGCUUAGAAGCAGCCAUCAUUUAAAGAAAGCGUAAUAGCUCACUGGUCGAGUCGGCCUGCGCGGAAGAUGUAACGGGGCUAAACCAUGCACCGAAGCUGCGGCAGCGACGCUUAUGCGUUGUUGGGUAGGGGAGCGUUCUGUAAGCCGUUGAAGGUGUCCUGUGAGGGGUGCUGGAGGUAUCAGAAGUGCGAAUGCUGACAUAAGUAACGAUAAAGCGGGUGAAAAGCCCGCUCGCCGGAAGACCAAGGGUUCCUGUCCAACGUUAAUCGGGGCAGGGUGAGUCGACCCCUAAGGCGAGGCCGAAAGGCGUAGUCGAUGGGAAACAGGUUAAUAUUCCUGUACUUGGUGUUACUGCGAAGGGGGGACGGAGAAGGCUAUGUCAGCCGGGCGACGGUUGUCCCGGUUUAAGCAUGUAGGCGGAGGUUCCAGGUAAAUCCGGUACCUUGUUAACGCUGAGGUGUGAUGACGAGGCACUACGGUGCUGAAGUGAUAAAUGCCCUGCUUCCAGGAAAAGCCUCUAAGCAUCAGGUAACACGAAAUCGUACCCCAAACCGACACAGGUGGUCAGGUAGAGAAUACCAAGGCGCUUGAGAGAACUCGGGUGAAGGAACUAGGCAAAAUGGUGCCGUAACUUCGGGAGAAGGCACGCUGAUGUGUAGGUGAAGUCCCUGCGGACGGAGCUGAAAUCAGUCGAAGAUACCAGCUGGCUGCAACUGUUUAUUAAAAACACAGCACUGUGCAAACACGAAAGUGGACGUAUACGGUGUGACGCCUGCCCGGUGCCGGAAGGUUAAUUGAUGGGGUUAGCGGCAACGCGAAGCUCUUGAUCGAAGCCCCGGUAAACGGCGGCCGUAACUAUAACGGUCCUAAGGUAGCGAAAUUCCUUGUCGGGUAAGUUCCGACCUGCACGAAUGGCGUAAUGAUGGCCAGGCUGUCUCCACCCGAGACUCAGUGAAAUUGAACUCGCUGUGAAGAUGCAGUGUACCCGCGGCAAGACGGAAAGACCCCGUGAACCUUUACUAUAGCUUGACACUGAACACUGGUCCUUGAUGUGUAGGAUAGGUGGGAGGCUUUGAAGCGUGGACGCCAGUCUGCGUGGAGCCAACCUUGAAAUACCACCCUUUAAUGGCUGGUGUUCUAACGUAGACCCGUAAUCCGGGUUGCGGACAGUGUCUGGUGGGUAGUUUGACUGGGGCGGUCUCCUCCCAAAGAGUAACGGAGGAGCACGAAGGUUGGCUAAUCCUGGUCGGACAUCAGGAGGUUAGUGCAAUGGCAUAAGCCAGCUUGACUGCGAGCGUGACGGCGCGAGCAGGUGCGAAAGCAGGUCAUAGUGAUCCGGUGGUUCUGAAUGGAAGGGCCAUCGCUCAACGGAUAAAAGGUACUCCGGGGAUAACAGGCUGAUACCGCCCAAGAGUUCAUAUCGACGGCGGUGUUUGGCACCUCGAUGUCGGCUCAUCACAUCCUGGGGCUGAAGUAGGUCCCAAGGGUAUGGCUGUUCGCCAUUUAAAGUGGUACGCGAGCUGGGUUUAGAACGUCGUGAGACAGUUCGGUCCCUAUCUGCCGUGGGCGCUGGAGAAUUGAGGGGGGCUGCUCCUAGUACGAGAGGACCGGAGUGGACGCAUCACUGGUGUUCGGGUUGUCAUGCCAAUGGCACUGCCCGGUAGCUAAAUGCGGAAGAGAUAAGUGCUGAAAGCAUCUAAGCACGAAACUUGCCCCGAGAUGAGUUCUCCCUGAGACCUUGAGUCUCCUGAAGGAACGUUGAAGACGACGACGUUGAUAGGUCGGGUGUGUAAGCGCAGCGAUGCGUUGAGCUAACCGAUACUAAUGAACCGUGAGGCUUAACCUUACAACGCCGAAGCUGUU
This 2932-nucleotide ribosomal RNA is filed under the name Enterobacter hormaechei. RNAcentral describes it as "23S ribosomal RNA". It matches the Rfam family "Bacterial large subunit ribosomal RNA". The record is from RNAcentral. Lineage: Bacteria; Pseudomonadati; Pseudomonadota; Gammaproteobacteria; Enterobacterales; Enterobacteriaceae.